RNAcentral lists this unclassified non-coding RNA (257 nucleotides) under Hevea brasiliensis (rubber tree). Lineage: Eukaryota; Viridiplantae; Streptophyta; Magnoliopsida; Malpighiales; Euphorbiaceae. The record is from RNAcentral.
AGUGCCUCUGGUUAAAUCAAUUGGUGCCACUAAAGUAAAGCUCUAUGAUGCAGAUCCAAGGGUGCUUCGAGCAUUUGCCAAUACUGGAGUGGAAUUCAUCGUAGGACUUGGAAACGAGUAUUUAUCAAAGAUGAGAGAUCCUGAUAAAGCUCAAGCCUGGGUCAAAUCCAAUGUUCAAGCCUACUUACCAGCAACCAAGAUUACCUGCAUAACAGCAGGCAACGAAGUGUUAACUUUCAACGACACCUCUCUCAGCG